RNAcentral lists this ribosomal RNA (269 nucleotides) under uncultured Planctomycetales bacterium. Its description in RNAcentral is "partial 16S ribosomal RNA". It matches the Rfam family "Bacterial small subunit ribosomal RNA", at positions 565 to 832 of the family's 1533-position model. Lineage: Bacteria; Pseudomonadati; Planctomycetota; Planctomycetia; Planctomycetales. The record is from RNAcentral.
GAGCACGUAGGUGGGUUUGUAAGUCAGAUGUGAAAGCCUUCUGUUCAACGGAAGAAUUGCAUCUGAAACUGCGAGUCUUGAGUGUAGGAGGGAAGAAUGGAACUUCUGGUGGAGCGGUGAAAUGCGUAGAUAUCAGAAGGAACUCCGGCGGCGAAAGCGAUUCUCUGGCCUAUUACUGACACUCAGUGUGCGAAAGCUAGGGGAGCAAACGGGAUUAGAUACCCCGGUAGUCCUAGCCGUAAACGAUGGGCACUAAGUAGAGGGGUUUU